ACCAAGGCGACGAUCAGUAGCCGACCUGAGAGGGUGAUCGGCCACAUUGGAACUGAGACACGGUCCAAACUCCUACGGGAGGCAGCAGUGGGGAAUAUUGCACAAUGGGCGAAAGCCUGAUGCAGCAACGCCGCGUGAGUGAUGAAGGCCUUCGGGUCGUAAAACUCUGUCCUCAAGGAAGAUAAUGACGGUACUUGAGGAGGAAGCCCCGGCUAACUACGUGCCAGCAGCCGCGGUAAUACGUAGGGGGCUAGCGUUAUCCGGAUUUACUGGGCGUAAAGGGUGCGUAGGCGGUCUUUCAAGUCAGGAGUGAAAGGCUACGGCUCAACCGUAGUAAGCUCUUGAAACUGGGAGACUUGAGUGCAGGAGAGGAGAGUGGAAUUCCUAGUGUAGCGGUGAAAUGCGUAGAUAUUAGGAGGAACACCAGUUGCGAAGGCGGCUCUCUGGACUGUAACUGACGCUGAGGCACGAAAGCGUGGGGAGCAAACAGGAUUAGAUACCCUGGUAGUCCACGCUGUAAACGAUGAGUACUAGGUGUCGGGGGUUACCCCCUUCGGUGCCGCAG
RNAcentral lists this ribosomal RNA (565 nucleotides) under Clostridioides difficile. RNAcentral's name for it is "bacterial SSU rRNA". It matches the Rfam family "Bacterial small subunit ribosomal RNA", at positions 267 to 851 of the family's 1533-position model. The record is from RNAcentral. Lineage: Bacteria; Bacillati; Bacillota; Clostridia; Peptostreptococcales; Peptostreptococcaceae.